UUCACUUCUAAAUUAUCCCACCUUCAUUCAUUUUCCUUUGCAUCAUCCAUGAUAAUAAGUCAUUUUUUUGGGCCUUUGGCCAUUGUUACUCAUACUUGCUUUAGCAUAUCACCACCAUUUAAAUUGGAGCUUUGAGUUCAUUUUAUCUCAUUAGAACUAAUUUCUUUAUUUUAAUUUUUUUUUGCAUUAGAUUGACAAAAGGAUCAUGUUCUUGAAGGACACUAGCUCCUCGUUUGUAGCAACAUGGUUUCAUCGACAUCCAUAACAUCAUUAUCACACCAACAUGAUUCACACAUACAUAAAAAUAAAUUGAAAAUUGGAAAAAAGGAAAUGACAUGAAACACAUGGAAACUCGUGAAGUAUCAUCAACAUACAUCAAUCCUUCAUCAUCCCAUCACAUGCCAUAUAAACCUCACGUAACUCAUGCUCUCAGUCAUAAUUUUUUCACCCUUCAAAUUCCCUCCAAAAUCACUCAAUACUCACCUCUUUUCCCCCUCAAAAUCUUCUCACGAGGAUCACCACAUCGUCCCAAUUCUCCUCUAUAAGUAAACCUCAUUGCUCGCUCUCUAAAACACACAAGAUUCUCUACUAAAUCUCUGCAUAAAUAUCUCCCAAAUCCCUAGCAAACUUCUGCUCGAAUCUAGGCACACCUUCAACACUUGCAGAAAGAAAACAAAGAUAGAAUCAUUGGAAGAAGUUUAGAAGGAAAAGAGACGAAGAAGUAGAGAGGAUAAUACAUACCUAAAUGUAGUGAAGGUCGCAUGAGUUCUCUCCGGAAACUCCAUGUUUUCGACAAGGUUCUUUUUUCCAUUUUUCAUACCAGUUUACCUUCCUUGUUGCAUUUUUAUUAUCAAUUUUCUCUCUACUGUUAUAACUCUAUGUAAUCGUGAUGACUUAAUGAGAAUGUGGGGGCUAGGGUUAAAUUGGGAAAAGGGUAUUUUGUUUGUUUGAUUGAGAUUCUGAUUAAACUAAUGCUAGAUUCGGUUUCAGAUAGGAAAAUUGAGUGGAGUUUGUGUUAUGAGUUUUCGCAUUUGAUGUGGUUUGGGAAAAAUCUGGAAAACUGAUGAACACCUUCAUGGAGUUCAUCGUUGUGUUCAUAGGUAUUUGGCUUUUGAUCCGUUUCAGAAGAAAAAUAAAGCUUGAAAAUUGUUUAUGAAAGAGAGAGGGAGAGAGAGAAAAGAGAGAACAUGGAGUGGGGAGAGAGAAGGAGAAGUCAGUUAUGAUUUUCUCACGUGUUGCUUCCUUUUUUUUCAUCACAAUCUCACUCCCUUGGUCACAUAUGGCCUAGUUGUUAACCAUUGGAUCGUACGACCUGGUUUUCAUUGAUGUGGGUCCCACAUGGGCACCCAACUUUAUUUACCAUGCGUCUGCUUAAAGUUUUCCCUUUGAUCUUGUGACGGAAUGAUCUGAUGGAUGAGGUUGAGUCAACACAUGUUGACUACCUCAUACCUUUGUCUGGGCUUACUACACCUUUGGGCCUUCUCUAGCCCCGGGGGCCUCUUUGCUUCCAAUACCCCCUUUUUAUUUUAAUCUAUAUCUUUUUUUAUUAUUAUAUGUUAUGUUUUUUUAUCCUUGGCACAUUGUUUUGCUACUUGCAUAUACUCCUCAUAUUUCUUACACCCGUCCCCUCUUUUAGUUAUUUUAUUUUACAAUUUAUUUAUUUUAUUAAUUAAUUCUAAUUGAUUAAAUAAAUAUUUCAAAAUUAAAAAAAUACUUUGAUCUAAAGUCAAGUGGCCUUUUCAAAAAUUCACCAUCUUUUGAUCGAUUCCAAAUCAACACAUAUCAAACCUUGAUCCAUAUCAAGAUCAUUUUCAAAACCAAAAUAAAAUACCUAAUUAUUUUCAAACAUCUUUCACAAAUAAGCUGAAAAAGGAAUAGUUGGUGUUGUCUACCACUCUUUUCCCCGAUUGUUUGGCUACGAGCCGUAUAGCUCAACCAUUCGAGCAUUCAUAAUCCGUUUAAAACUCUUAACUCGGUUCAUAUUGAGCCUCUUUCAUGAUUAAAUCUUGAGUGAUCUCAUUUUCAUGAUAAAUCGGACAAAAAAGGAAUAAAUGAGUGUAUACCUCUGUAAGACACCAAUUUUGACCCUAAGAUCCCUCAUGCAAUUUCAUCAUAAGCACUAGCAUUAGAAUCAUACCUUGGCAUCCUCCUAACCCCUCUCAUUGGGUUUGUUUUGGGAGAGAUCACCAAGCACCAUGUGAUUGUAUCAUACUUGUAUAUUAUCAUUUUACUAACCAAAAUACCAAAAAUAUGUCUUUGCAUUUGCCUAACUCUUUUGUAAAUUAUCAUUUUACUAACCAAAAUACCAAAAAUAUGUCUUUGCAUUUGCCUAACUCUUUUGUAGGUAGGGCAUGAUCACAUUGAUUUAUCAAGUCCAUAUCUAGGGUUUGAGGCCCUCAUGACAAAGAUCAUUACCAUGAAUUGAUCCAAGAAUGGUUAUGAGCAUCAUAUAUGAGUUCCAUUGAUUCCUACAUGUUAUAUUGAUCAAGUUUUCUUCAAGAGUUUGGAGGUGAUUUGCCUUGGAAACCCUAGUUUGUCUGGGUAUCUUGAGUAGCUUCUCCAACAACCUAUCUCACCAAUUGAUCAAAUUUUUCAAGGGACACUUCAAAUUUCAUCAUCUUAUGCAUAUAUGAUCUACCAUGAGCCAAGAAAGUCAAAAUAAUUUAAGCUUAGCAAGUUGGUUGAGGGUGGUUGGCCAGAUGAAUUCAUCUUAUCAAAACUGGGUCUCCCUAGACCCUAUCUCCUACAAUUUUCACCAUAUGAAAAUGAUUCAAAGCGAAAAGUUACUCUAAAUGACAUUUCAAAGCCUUGCACCAUUGCUAACCACUCCCUGCAAGCUUCUCAAGUGUGAUCAGAUCGUGUUUGAAGCAAGCAACCUCAAGUUCUGCACAUCAUUGAAGGUAAUUUUCAGAAAACUUCAUCUCUUCGAUUCUCACUUAAUUCUACUCAAUUCUCUUGGAGCUUUGGUUGUCUGAAGUCCUACCAAUGUAGGCAAGAAGAUUGAGUUGCUUAUAGGUCAAAUCGAAGUAACUCAGUUGACACACCUCAAAAUUCAACUCCUCAUAUCUUUCUAUAUAUGUGGAGUUAGUUAAAAUUGAGGUCAGUUUCGUGCUCUACGCCAUUUUUUCUUUCAGAUCAUGUCCUCCUUUUUUAUUUUGGUGAUGGUUGAAGUUGGACAAAUCCCGUGAGGUCUUCCGAAGAAGACGGUCGGAGUUACAGCUCCGACGGUGCGUUGGCACGUCUCCCAGCCACAUGAUCCAUUCAAUUUGUUUUAAUCUUAGGCGUUGGUUUUGAUUACCACACAUGUGGCGCGUUGACUAUGUUCCAUCAUGGAACGCGUGUUUGUGUCCACUUCAUCUGCCACCUCAAUUAAUGAGAGAGAUCAAGUGGCUCACGUUUUUUUUGAUUUUUUUAUUUUAAUUUUUAUUCCUUUGAUUUUCAUUAAUUCAUAUUAGUUUUAAUAUUGAUCCAAAAAAUAUGAGAGUUUCACCAAAUAAUUUCAAAUAAUUUUCUCUUUCAUAUUUUGAAUUAAAAUUAUUUUUUGGAUCAUUAUUAAUAUUUUUCAUGAUUUAAUUGACUUUGUGAAUAUUUUUAAUUGUUUAAAAAUACUUUGAAGUCUUUAAAAAUUAUGAAAUUUUUUCUCCAAGGUUUUUUGACCUUGUUUGACCUAUGAUAAAUCUCAUGGUCAUUUCUUUGUUGUUUUGAUGAGGUUUUAGGAAUUUGACAAACCAUAUUUAAUUUAAAUGUCUUAUUUUAGUAUUUUUAAUUUGAAUAAAUGUCAAAUAAUUGUGUUGACCUAUUGUGAUGAUUUGUGUAAGUUUGACUCAUGUUGUUGGGCCUUAGUCAAGGUUGAUUUGACUUGUUAAGUUAAUAUCAUUGGCUUUAGGGGAUUGAUGGAAUGUACAUUCCAUCUCCCAAAAUGAAUGAAUGAUAUUAAUUUGGUAAAAGUCCUCCUUUGACCAAUUUGAGUUUUGAUUCAUUCCCUUCCCUCUUCAUCUCAUUCCCCUUCUUUAUGCAUCCAUCUCAUUUGGCCUAUGAUAUCUCUAAGUCCUAAGGCUAGUUGAUUGCAAAAUCAACAUAAGUAUGGAUGAGAUUAGGCCACCUCUUUUGCAUAUUCUUUUUUUGUGUGGUAUGUUUCAUGAGCAUAGUCCAUUAUACUAUGUCUCUAACAUGCAUUAACACAAGGGAAUUUGGGGUUUAUAUAUGGCAUUCUUGCCUAUUGGAUUGCUACCCAUCGGUCAGAUCUUUUCAACUCUUAACUUUUAAUUUUGUGCAUAUGAUUAGUCUCUUCAUCUCCUCCCCAUUUCUUUAAUUUCAAAAUCUCUUCCUCCUUUCAAAAAACUUUGUUUGAACUUGUUAUUUUCUAAACUUUGACCACUUUGCAAAAGAUAGAAACUUUGGCCUUAUGCCAUUCUAUUUUCAAACUUCUUUUCUUAAUCAAACUUGUAAGUAGACUUAACUAUACUUGACCUAAACUUUCAAAAGCCAAAAAAGAACUAACUCAUUCAAACCAUUUUCAGGCCUUUGUGUUUUUCAAGCUUAAUUUUGUUAAAAGCAAUGCAUCCACUUUGAAAUUUGUAUCAUGAACUACGAGGUUUUAAUCCCUCAUUUUCAUGUUGGUACGUAGGCACAAGUCUGAAGGUCUUGUCAAACACAAAAAUAUAAUUAAUGAAUUCUUUUCUCAUCCCCUCACUCUAUUUGUUUGUAAACAUCAUUUUGUACAAAAUACAUAUGCACACAAAAAAGGGCUCCCUAGGAGUACCUAGGACACUUUGGGUGCUAACACCUUCCCUCUAUGUAACCAACCCCCUUACCUGUAAUCUCUGACAUUUUAUUAGUUUUGAAUUGAAACUUCUACUUUUGGGUUUUGUUUGUACUUUUUCCCUUUUCCCUUGGAAACAAUAAAAGCGCGAUGGCGAUCUUUGUUAUUUGAUGUCUAGUUUAAUUCAUAGCUUGAUGAUCAUGAAUUUACCGCUACAGAAAUUAAGUGACGACUCUGAUGGAGAGUAGUUUCCAGUGGGUUUAGCCUACUUUUUUAUGUGUAUAUAAUGUGUAUAUGUGAUGUAUAUAUAUAUAUAUAUAUAUAUAUAUAUAUAUAUAUAUAUAUAUAUAUAUAUAGUAUAUAUAUAUAUAUAUAUAUAUAUAUUAUAUAUAUAUAUAUAUAUAUAUAUAUAUAUAUAUACUAUAUAUAUAUAUAUAAUAUAUAUUAGUAUUAUACUAUAUAUAUAUAUAUUUGUGUGAUAUAAUAUGCCUGUUGUGCUUGGUGAUCUCUGAGUGGUGAGAUAAGUUCUAACUCGAACUUGAGUGAAAUUAAGAUAGGAGGAUGUUAUAGUCAUGUUCGACUUGUGUGGAGUAGUCCUUAACAAGUUGGCUUGAGAUCCAUCUGCUUAGUGGAGACCCUUUUGGAUUUGGAAAUGUCACACAAGUAUUUGUGGUUAGGUAUUAAUAUCUCUAAUUUGGGUCCGAGAAGCUGAGGACCGUAGAACAUAUACCCCCUCUUGGCCUAUUUAGGACAUAGUGUGGGAAUUGUUCAAGUGUAGACUUGAUAACAGUUGUUACACAAUACUACACUCAGACGAGUUUCUCUUGAGAAUAUUAUGGGUCGAUGAGUAAGUCAUCUUAACCUGUAAUAUCCGACAUAUGGAAUUAAGACUUUGGGGACUUUUUAGAACAUGAUAUACGGGUUUUUAUCCUUAGUUCACUCCUUUGGGAUGGUUAUUACCCAGACUCCAUGCUCGUGACUCAUAACAAACCCUUGAUUCUUGGUUGAUCUAAUCAAGUCUUAUCAAUAUCAAUGGAACUUGGGUGUUGAUAAGGUGAAAACUAUAAUCCACCAAAAUGGAUGAUUGAUCUUGACAAUGACUUGAUUCAUCCCUUGACCUUUGUUUGUUUUCCUUGUGUGUGAUCCCUUAUUUGUGAUUGUUGCAUUCAUGCAUUCAUGCGCAUCAAUCUUGACAAUGACUUGAUUCAUCCCUUGACCUUUGUUUGUUUUCCUUGUGUGUGAUCCCUUAUUUGUGAUUGUUGCAUUCAUGCAUUCAUGCGCAUCAUAACAUUCAUCACACGAAAAUUUCAAGGGACUAAGGUAUUAUUUGCAAAUAUUUUCAGACCAUGGAUUGUGGACAAAGGAAUGCUAAGAAGUACAGUUUCAGAUGUCCCGACUUGAAAGAGUUAAGGAAGCUAACAUCUUUUGUAUUAGAUCCCUUGGACUUCAAACAAUGCCAUGGGAAGCUUCUAUCUAUCUUGUCUGCUGAUGUGGUUGAAGGACUUUUGAGUGUACUACUGCAGUUCUAUGAUCCUCUCUACCGAUGUUUCACUUUCCCAGAUUAUCAGCUUGUGCCUACGUUGGAGGAGUAUUCUCAUCUCUUGGGGAUACAUGUUUCUAGUAGAGUACCUUUUAGUGGAUUGGAAGAGAUUCCCAGAUCUCAUCUUAUUGCUGAAGCUCUUCACUUGAAGAAGUCUGAGAUAAAGGCUCAUUGGAUGAAGAAAGGAGGAUUGUUUGGGUUUCCAUCUAAUUUCCUCAUCAAGGAAGCUACUGUUUUUGCUCAAGCCGGUAGUGUGGAUGCUUUUGAAGCUAUCUUUGUGUUGCUCAUCUAUGGAUUAGCUUUGUUCCCUAACAUUGACGGUUUUGUUGAUAUUAACGCCAUUAGACUUUUCUUGAUUGGGAAUCAUGUGCCUACUUUGUUGGGUGAUAUGUAUUUCUCUUUGCAUAUAAGGAAUUCUAAGGGUGGUGGAACCAUUGUCUGUUGCAUUCCUUUUCUGUACAAGUGGUUUAUUUUGCACUUGCCUCAGACGUCUACUUUUGUGGAGAACAAACAAGGUCUACGGUGGUCUCAGAGACUUAUGUCUCUCACUAAUGAUGAUAUAGUUUGGUAUGAUCCUUCUUUGGGCAGUUUGGACAUUAUUGAUAGUUGUGGUGAAUUCUCUAAUGUACCUCUCAUUGGUACGAGUAAUUAACUACAACCUACUUUGGCUCGUUGUAAACUUGGUUCCCCUUGAGAGACAAACCUAAUAACACUUUGUUAGAAGGUGUUUUCUAUCAAGAGGGUAAGAUCCCCAACAUUUGAAGCAGAAGAUUUGUGCAUGCUUGGCAUAAUGUGCAUAGGAAGGGGAGAUCCGAGCUUGGUCCGUGCAAUUGUGUAGCUUUGGAAUACACUCUUUGGGUGAAGAAGAGAGCUUUGGAGUUGAAGAUGCCUUAUCCUUGUGAAAGACCUAUGUCUAUGGUUGUGGUUGAGCCAUUAACUCUCCCUAACCAAGAUGUAUAGGAGUUGAAAGACGCACUCGCCAAGAUGAAGCAAGAGAAGGAUAUGCGGGAAAAGUGUUUUCGUGCUUUAAGCAAGAAGCAUGAAGAGUUGCAGUCGGAGUCUAAGGACAAGGAUGCACUUAUUGAGCUACUUGAAGACCGAGUGACAAAGAGACAGAGAGAGCCGGAGGUUUCAUCUUCCUCUAGCAUGCAUCAACCUUCCGUUGCUUGGAAGAAGAUUGUUGAUCAACUUGUCCUCGAGAAGACUCAAAUGAAGGCUUCUUUUGAGACCGAUUAGUGCUUCAAAGGGUAAGUCUGGUGAAUCCAGCGAUUUGAAGGCUAAUGAUGAUGACGAGGUACUUCAUUUGAUCAAGAGAAGUGAGUUUAAUAUGGUGGAGUAGCUGCUCCAAACCCCCUCAAAGGUCUCAGUGUUGUCUCUGCUCAUGAACUCAGAAGCGUACAGAGAAGCACUGCAGAAAGUUCUCGAGCAAGAUUUUAUGGAACAUGAUGUUAUAGUGGAUUAGUUUGAUCAUAUUGUGGCUAACAUCAUUUCCUGCAACAAUCUUAGCUUUUGUGAUGAAGAACUCCCUGAGGAGGACAGAAAUCAUAACUUGGCUUUGCAUAUCUCUAUGAACUGCAAAGAUGAUGCUUUGUCGAAUGUGCUUGUUGACACCGGGUUUUCGUUGAAUGUACUGCCAAAGUCAACAUUGUCAAAGCUAUCAUAUCAAGGAGUGCCUAUGAGGUAUAGCGGUGUAAUCGUCAAAGCUUUUGACGGUUCAUGCAAAACAGUGAUUGGUGAAGUGGACCUUCCAGUUAAGAUAGGUCCGAGUGACUUCCAGAUUACUUUUCAAGUAAUGGAUAUCCACCCGGCCUACAGUUGCUUAUUGGGAAGGCCAUGGAUUCAUGAGGCGGGAGCUGCUACCUCCAUAUUGCAUCAUAAGCUUAAAUUUAUGAAAAAUGGAAAGCUUGUAAUCAUUGGUGGGGAGAAGGCGUUGUUGGUUAGCCACCUGUCAUCUUUCUCUUAUGUUGAAGCUGAGGAUGAGGUUGGAACUCCGUUCCAAGCCUUAUCUAUUGCUGCUGAAAAGAGAGUUGGGGCACCUAUGUCCUCAUUGAAGGAUGCAAAGACGAUUGUAGAAGAAGGCAAUGUUGAUCAGUAGGGGCGCAUGGUAGAGGUCUCCGACAACAAAGGCAGAAUCGGUCUAGGUUUUCAGUGAGGUUCAUCAAUUGCAAGGUCUGAAGAUAUGAAACUAAGCUUCCGUAGCGGAGGGUUCAUUCAUGGCAAUGAACAACACUUAGCUGUUGUGCUAGAGGAUGACGAAGAGGAAGGCUGCACCAAUUUUGUGACGCAUGGAAAGGCUUGGAACAAUUGGACUGCUGUUGAUGUUCCUAUUAUUUUGUAUCGAUCUAAGUAAUUGCUUUUAUAUGUUUUCAAAAUCCUUUUCCUAUGCCUAAGGGAGAAGCGAACAUUGUUUGGGCAUUUUCAAAUUGAUCAUUAAUAAAAUUAGUUCUAUUCAUCCACAUCUAUGAUGUUUGUUUUUACUUUUUGCUUUAUUCUGAAAAUGGUAAUCACAAAAACAUAAAUAAACAAUAUAAUUGUCCAUCUGCAUAAUAUUUGGUCACAAAUUCACUUUCUCUAAAAUCAAAAUAUCAAUCAUUAUGCAGGUUGGUUCCUAACCCAUUGAAUACAAUCCUUCUCCUUCUCCAAAUUUUGAAUUCCCUGUGUUUGAGGCCGAGGAGGAAAGUGAUGAAGAAGUGAGUGAUGAAUUAUCUCGUCUUCUUGAGCAUGAUGAAAAAGCCAUUCAGCCGUUCGAAGAGAAGAUUGAGUUAGUCAACUUGGGUUCCGAGGAUGAUAUGAAGGAAGUCAAGAUUGGGUCUUGACUGUGUCCAGAUGUUAAGAAGGGGUUGAUUGAUCUUCUUCAAGAGUAUUCAGAUGUGUUUGCUUGGUCCUAUCAAGACAUGCCUGGUUUAGAUUCUGAGAUAGUGGAGCAUAGAUUUCCGUUAAAGCCAGAAUGCCCGCCAAUCAAGCAAAAAUUGAGAAGAAUGUAUCCUGGUAUGGCAGUGAAGAUCAAAGAAGAAAUGCAAAAGCAUAUUGACGCCGGUUUCCUUGUGACUGCUGAGUAUCCGCAAUGGAUGGCCAAUAUUGUGCCUGUGCCGAAGAAAGAUGGAAAAGUCCGCAUGUGUGUUGACUAUAGAGAUUUGAAUAAAUCCAGUCCGAAAGAUGAUUUCCCUUUGCCGCACAUUGAUAUGUUGGUGGACAAUACUGCUAAAUUCAAAGUCUUUUCGUUUAUGGAUGGAUUUUCUGGAUAUAAUCAGAUCAAGAUGGCACCCGAAGAUAUGGAGAAGACCACAUUCAUUACAACUUGAGGAACAUUCUAUUAUAGAGUGAUGCCUUUUGGUUUAAAGAAUGCUGGUGCAACUUACCAAAGAGCAAUGACUACUCUUUUUCAUGAUAUGAUGCAUAAAGAGAUUGAAGUUUAUGUCGAUCACAUGAUUGCUAAAUCAAUUGAUGAAGAGGAACAUGUUGAGCAUUUUUUGAAGCUAUUCCAACAUUUGAGGAAGUAUAAACUCCGCUUGAAUCCCAAUAAGUGUACUUUUGGUGUUCGUUCUGGUAAGUUGUUGGGCUUUAUUGUCAGCGAGAAGGGUAUUGAAGUUGAUCCUGAGAAUCCCAAUAAGUGUACUUUUGGUGUUCGUUCUGGUAAGUUGUUGGGCUUUAUUGUCAGCGAGAAGGGUAUUGAAGUUGAUCCUGCCAAGGUCAAAACAAUACAAGAGAUGCCUGCGCCCAAAACUAAGAAGCAAGUCAGAGGGUUUCUCGGCCGCUUGAAUUAUAUCUCAAGAUUCAUUUCACACAUGACUGCCACAUGUGCGCCUAUAUUCAAGCCUCUUCGGAAAGAUCAAUCUUGUGAUUGGACCGAAGAUUGCCAGAAAGCUUUUCAUAGUAUCAAGGAAUAUUUGCUUGAACCUCCAAUUUUGUCUCUACCUGUUGAAGGAAGACCAUUGAUCAUGUAUUUAACUGUGCUUGAAGACAGUAUGGGUUGCGUUCUAGGUCAGCAAGAUGAGUCUGGAAAGAAAGAAUUUGCAAUUUACUACCUCAGUAAAAAUUUCACCGACUGUGAGACUCGGUAUUCUAUGCUUGAGAAGACUUGUUGUGCAUUUGCUUGGGCUGUUAAGCAUAUGCAUCAAUAUAUGUUAAAUCAUACCACUUGGUUGAUAUCCAAAAUGGAUCCAAUCAAGUAUAUAUUUGAGAAGCCUGCUUUAACCGGGAGAAUUGCCCAUUGGAAGAUGUUGUUAUCAGAGUAUGAUAUGGAAUACCGAUCUCAGAAAGCGAUCAAAGGUAAUAUCUUGGCUGACCAUUUGGCUCACCAACCAAUUGAAGAUUACUAGUUAGUACAAUAUGACUUUCCUGAUGAAGAGAUCUUGUACUUGAAAAUGAAAGACUGUGAUGAACCAUUGCUUGAAGAAGUGCCAGAACCUGAUUCCCAUUAGGGCGUAGUAUUUGAUGGAGUUGUUAAUCAGUAUGGUAACGACAUUGUGGCGGUGAUUAUUACUCCUCAAGGCACACAUUUUCCCUUUACAACUAGAUUGACUUUCAAGUGUACAAAUAACAUGGCAGAGUAUGAAGCUUGCAUUAUUGGGCUUGAAGAGGCCAUUGAUCUCAGAAUCAAGUAUUUAGAUGUCUUUGGCGAUUCAACUUUGGUUGUAAAUCAAAUCAAAGGUGAAUGGGAGACGAAUCAACCCGGUUUGAUACCAUAUAGAUAUUAUGCGAGGAGGAUUUCAAAUUUCUUUACAAAAGUUGAGUUUCAUCAUAUCCCUCGAGAUGAAAACCGGAUGGCCGAUGCUCUUGCAACGUUGGCGUCUAUGAUUGUUGUGAAGUAUUGCAAUGAAGUUCCCAAUUUGUCUGUGAUGCGUCUUGAUAGGCCAACUCAUGUGUUUACUGUUGAAGAAAUCAAAGAUGAGAAGUCAUGGUAUUACGACAUCAAGUGUUUCCUCCAAAGUCAGAUUUACCCGGCUGGGGCAUCUUUGAAAGAUAAGAAGACUUUGAGAAGAUUAGUCGGCAAUUUUUACUUGAAUGGUGAUAUACUAUACAAGAGAAACUUCGACAUGGUUUUGCUCAGAUGCGUGGAUAGACACGAGGCAGACUUGUUGAUGACUGAAGUGCAUGAAGGUUCCUUUGGUACUCAUUCCAAUGGACAUGGGAUGGCGAAGAAGAUGUUGCGAGCAAGUUACUAUUGGCUGACAAUGGAAUCUGACUGUUGCAAGUUUAUGAAGAGAUGCCACAAGUGUCAAAUAUAUGCUGAUAAGAUUCAUGUUCCUCCGACAUUAUUGAAUGUUAUCUCUUCCCCAUGGCCUUUCUCCAUGUGGGGAAUUGAUAUGAUUGGCAUGAUUGAGCCCAAAGCGUCGAAUGAACAUCGUUUCAUUUUGGUGGCAAUUGAUUACUUCAUAAAAUGGGUUGAAGCGGCAUCAUAUGCGAAUGUGACCAAGCAAGUGGUUGUGAGGUUUAUCAAGAAUCAGAUCAUAUGUCACUAUGGUGUGCCAAGUAAGAUCAUUACUGAUAAUGGACCAAACUUGAAUAAUAAUAUGGUGGAAACUCUUUGCAAAGACUUCAAGAUUGCACAUCAUAAUUCUUCUCCCUACAAACCCAAGAUGAAUGGGGCUGUUGAAGCUGCAAAUAAGAACAUCAAGAAGAUUAUCCAGAAGAUGGUUGUCACAUAUAAGGAUUGGCAUGAGAUGCUUCCAUUUGCUUUGCACGGGUAUCGAACAUCCAUCCGCACUUCAACAGGGGCAACCCCUUUCUCUCUUGUUUAUGGCAUGGAAGUUGUACUCCCAAUAGAGGUGGAGAUUCCUUCAUUACGUGUGCUCAUGGAAGCCAAGUUGACUGAGGCUUAAUGGUGUCAGACCAGGUUUAACCAGCUGAAUUUGAUAGAAGAGAAGAGAUUAACUGCUAUGUGCCAUGGUUAUUUAUAUCAGCAAAGAAUGAAGAAAGCUUUUGAUAAGAAGGUCAAACCUCGUAUGUUCAGAGAAGGUGACCUUGUGCUCAAGAAGAUUUUAUCUUUCAAACCAAAUUCUAGGGGCAAAUGGACUCCUAAUUAUGAAGGCCCAUAUGUUGUUAAGAGAGUCUUUUCAGGUGGUGUUUCGAUUCUUACAACUAUGGAUGGUGAAGAGUUCACUCGUCUUGUGAACGCAGAUGCAGUCAAGAAAUACUUCGCCUAAAAAAAGGAAAAGAACAUCUGGCUAAGUUGAAAACCCGAAAGGGCGGCUUAGGCAAAAAUGAGCGUCUCGGUGGACUAAAAACCCGAAAGGGCGAUCCGGGCAAAAGUUAGAGACCUAAAACAGAAAGAACUUUCCCGAUAAAUUGAGUACCCCACCUUGGGGAAGCUUAUGCAAAAAUUAGGGAUUAUGGCAAGUAACUGCAUUCUGUUGAUCUUCAAUUUGGAGAAACUUUGAGCACAAGGGUUGACAUCAAUUCAUCAUCCCCGGUAGCGGCCGAAAGCACAACAGACAUCAAGAGUGGGUAGAAGGAUUAAUGGUCAUUUGUAUUCAAUGUAACCCUUUUCCAUGUAAAUUGCCAUUUUUAACAUUGUAAAAAUCUAUGGAGUCUUGUCAUUUAUAGACUACCAUUCCAUUAAAUAAAGUUGAGCUUUUAUCCAAUUAUUUUUACUCCUAUUUACUUCAGCCAUAAGUUUUAAUUUUUAUUAUGAUCAUUUUUAAAUUUAAAAUUUUAAUCAAAAUCAUUUUUCUUAAACGUAUAAAAGCAAGAAUUUUUCAAAGCAAAUUUAAAAGAAAUAUCAACAACAUUUCAAAAGCAUCAAGUUUUCAGUGUGAAGCAUUAAAGGUUCCACAAGUAGUUAACCCUUCAGGUUUCCCAACUAAGUUGGUUGAUUCAGUACCCUGAAGAGUUGAGUUUGAUCCCAGACAGGUUUGUGUAUUCAUCAUCAGUUUUGAUCCUUAGUGGAGUAUUUUGAUUCCCCAGUAGAUCGCGUUGGUGUCUCCAUCAGUCGCCAUCUGACUCGCUCCCAGUUAGAGUUUCCUCCUGGUUUCUGAGCAGCUAUCUUGCAUUUAUCCUAUGUAUGGUUGUCUCCCAUUUAGCAUGGUGUUGACCUAAAAUUCCCCGCAGACUCGAUAAUGUUUCCUUUCCUCAACAGAUCUCUUCCUUCCCCAGCUAGAGUUGAUCUUUUGGGAUGUGGAUCUCUCUGUUCUCUAGCAGUUAUUUCCCUUUUGUGGAUUGACCGAGGAUUUUACAGAUGAUUCAAAUUUUGCGACACCCUUGUAUCCUUUGCGAUCAUUUUGUCAGCAUAAUCAUCAUAUAUAUACGCAUAUACACUCAGGUAAGUUCAUAUUUGCAUAUUUGCAUCAUUCAUAUUUAUUGAAUCAUUGUUUGAGAUUCUUAUGCUCUGUUAUGGUGGUACUUUAUCCCCAUACAAGUUCGGUGUCCGUCCUCUCUCAAUUAUAGAAGGUCGACCUUUUAAGCAGAAAGACUUUAACCUUUCUCCUUUCCCCACUGAGUUAUUUCCUUGUGGAUGAUCAUUGUUUCAGUUUUUCCUCCCCAGUCGAUUAUCUGGAUGGAACCACUCCCCUUGAGAUAUAUCCUCAUUGGGUUGAGUCUUGAUUGACCGCUUCUUUCUAGCUCUUACCUAGAUAGAUGCUUUGAGUCUCCUAAGAGUUUAUUACCCAGUAGCUGGUAAUAUUCUUCUUAGUUUGCAGUUUGUUACUUCUUUCCCAAUACCCGGCAAAAGUAUCCCUGUUUUUCUCCUCAGUAGAGUCCACAUUGGAUCUAUUCCCCCAUGAAGUAUAUCCUUGAUAUGUUUAUCCUAACAGGUGACAGAUAUCUUUCUUUCCCCUGCCUGAGUUUAUCCUUGAUAUGUCCAUCCUAAUCGAUGACGAAUACUCUCAUCUUUGGUAUUCUACCCAGUAAAAAGGUAGUUGUAAUCCCUAUUUUGUUCCUCAGAGAGUUAAUUCUUGAUAUGUUCAUUCUAACCGAUGACGUGUUUCCUUCUCUUUGCGGUCUUCUACCCAGUAACCGGUAGUUGUAAAUCCUGCUUUUUUUCCCCUUUAUAGAGUCUAUCCUUGAUAUGUUCAUCCUAACUGAUGACGGAUAUCCUCUCAUGGUAUUCUAUCCAGUAACUGAUAGAUGUAAUUCCUAUUUUCUCUCCUCAACAGAGUCUAUCCUUGAUAUGUUCAUCUUAACUGGUGACGAAUUUUCUCUUUGAUGGUAUUCUGUCCAGCAUUCGAUAGAUGUAAUUCCUACUUUUUAUUCAGUUGGUAUAUCCUUGAUAUGUUCAUCCUAACCGAAAACGGGUAUCCUCCUUGACAUUCCCAGGCAAGGUUGUCCUUGAUAUGUUCAUCCUAACCGAUGACGGAUUUUCUUCCCUUUUGAGUUUAUCCUGGAUAUGUUCAUCCUAAUCGAUGACGGAUACUCUCAUCUUUGGCCUUCUACCCAGUAACUGGUGUAAGACCCUAAUUUUUCCCCUAAGAUCCCUCAUGACAUCAUGUUAUUGCACAAGUGCAUUGCCUCAAGGAUCAUAGCAUGUUUGGCUCCUUAACCCUAGGGUUGAGACUUGUUUGAGUGAUUUGAGAUCACCAAGCAUGCUUGCAUUGUAUGUUAUUGAUUUUCUUAUUUGAUUACUAACCAAAAGCACAAAAAUAUGUCACUAACUCUUUUUGUUUUGAAGCUCAAGUGGUCAUGUGCUCCACAAUGCUCCUAAGCCCAAUGAAAUGGCUAGAUGAAGAUGAGAAAAAGCAUGGCAAUGGUCCACGAAGUUCCUAAUAAUCAUAUAUGUCUCCCAAGUAUCUCAAUUUUCCAAUUAUAUCAAGAUAACCAGAAAGGUUUGAAGAUUGUUUCCCAAGGAAACCCUAAUUUCACAAUGCUUUGACUAUGCCUUGCCCAUGAAGCAAUCUCAACCUCUGAUCAAAUUUAAUCAAGGUAAGUUCUUUCAUUUAUCAUUUUAUGCAUAUAUGAGCCUAUUUGAGGCCCCUCAAUCAUUUAUUCAUCAAGGUUGGAAGUUUGACUUUGAAAAAGUUGACCAGUCAAGUCAUCUGACAAAGCUGAGGUUCAAUGAGCUAUAACUUUUAAUGUGUUUGUCAAAUGAAGAUGACCCCAAAAUAAACAAUGUUCCUAAUAACCUUUUGAACAAAUUUCAUGUUCAACCAAAAUCCAUUUGAAUCUUGGAAGGUCAUCAUUAAGUUCAAAACAUUAUAGGUCAUUUUGAUUGAAACCCUAAUUUUGGGUCAACUUGCCAAGGGCACAACUUUCUCAAUUUUCAUGAUUUUGAGGUGGGACAAAAGUCAUUGGUAAGCUUGAUAUGUAUACUUAAAAUUUAUGUUGUACAAAAUUUCAUAAUCCUAAAUAAAUUAAAUGUGAUAUUGCAAAACAUUAUAGGUCAUCUUGGACCUAAUUCAUUGAAUUUGAAAAAGUAUCCAACUUCAAAUGCCCAUAACUUUGUCAUACAAAAUCCAAAUGAUGCAAACUUUGAGUCUAAAUUGACUAUCUUGAAAAGAUAUACAACUUUGAUGUUGGAGAAGUUUUCAUUUGUAUCUUUUAUCAUGAGGACAUAGGGGUUUGAUUAAGCUUACUUCGGUUAAUUUUUUAUAAAAUGAUUUGAACAUGUUUUACACUUAAACUUUCCAAGCCAGUUUUGAACAAUUUGAACAUGUCAAAUGGUUUUUUGCCCAACAUGACUUUUGUUCCUUAUUUCAAAAGCUUUCUAACCAUUACUCACAAUAGUCAUUUGGAUAUACCAUUUGGGAGAUUCAAAUUUCUUUUCAUUUAUGUGCAUUCUUGAUAUUUUAUGUUAAAGCUUGAAGUGCAAGCAUUCUUCAUUUCAUGUGCAUGACCACAUGUUCUCCAUAUGAUCUCAGCAAGCUCUUUCAGCCAUUCAUGGGCCUCUCACACGUCCACAAAGGCCCAUGCACUCAAAAUUUCAAAUCUCAUGCACAUGAGCAAAGUGUGAAUUCAGAUGCAUUCACCUAUAAAUAAAGGCUUCCUCUCCCUCAUUUCAUAACCUUUUGGAGAUCCCAUAUGUUGCUGAACUGAAACCACACCCUCAUCAAAGGAAUCAUUCACCAUUUUUUCAAAUAUUUCGAGCUUGAAAGUCAACAACAUUAGUUGAGUUUCCAAGCUAGAUUCCUUAGCCAAUCAUCUUCCCUAUAUUCAGAGAUCAAAGAGGAGAAAAAAGCUUGAAGGAUUCCUGGCCAGAAGCUCACCAUUUGGAAGGUAUAAACUCAAACUGUUUGGAUCUGAAACUCCUAAUUCAAUGUAGUAUUCUGGUGUUUUUGUGGUUUUCUGAAGUCCUCAUACUUGAGGCAAGCUUUUGGUGUAUUCAAUUUGCCAUUUCAUGAACAAUCCGUGUGGACAUCAUGAUUUUCUCCUUCAUCUUUCUCUCAACAUAGGAAGAAUGAGAGGAAUCUAAUGGUACAGUGAUGAUCUACAUCACACGAGCUUCAUUUCCAUGCCUUUGUUUUUCAUUUUCGAUGAGAUCCAUUUUCCUGCAAUUCUGGCCGGAAUCUGUUGGUUGAUCAGAGAAGAUGGUGGUUUCCACCGCCACCACCACGUGUGUUGCUCAUGGCCCUUGGAUCUCUCCCUCACGAUCUAAUCUCAUGCGUUCAUUUCAAUUACUUCUUUUAAUGCAUUGUGUUUUACUGUCGACUUGAGACCAACGUGCAUCAUCAUAUCCAAGUCGUGCAUCGUGCCACGUCAAUUAAUGAAUUGGAUCUGGUGGCUCAGCAUUUUUCGUUUAUUUCAUUUUCUUUUAAUUUUCUUUUAAUUCAUUCUAUUUUCAAUAAUUCAUUAAAAAUUCAAAUGAAGUCAGAAAAAUAUGACCAACUUUCAAAUUUUUCUUGAAAAAUCUAGUUUCAUAUUAUGAUUUUUAAUUAUUUUUGUGACUUCACUUGAUAUUUUUUUUGAAUUACUUGGUUUUUAAUGAUUUUAAUUCAUUUUAAAAUACUUUCUGACUUUUAAAAAAUACAAAAAUAUUUCUAUAGCAUCUAUGGAUCAUGAUAAGUCAAUGAAAAAUAGUCUCAACAAUUUCUUGUUUGUUUUGAAAUUAUUUGAGAUUUUAAUUCAUAUUAUGCUAUUUUUGGUUGUUUUUAAUUGGUUUUAAUUACUUUCUGAUUUUAAAAAUUUGUGAGAAAAUUAGUCAAAGUUUGUUUGACUAUGUUGAACCUAUGAGAAUUUAAUUGGACUCAUUGAAGUUAUUUUGAAUUGAAUUUGAGGUUCAACUUUGUUUGUUUAUUUUUUAUAUCAAAGUUUGUUUGACUAUGUUGAACCUAUGAGAAUUUAAUUGGACUCAUUGAAGUUAUUUUGAAUUGAAUUUGAGGUUCAACUUUGUUUGUUUAUUUUUUAUUUGUAUUUUCUUUUAAUUCAAAAAUUACCAAAAAAAUAUCAUUGACUUCUUGACUUGUUAUAUUCAUUCCUCUUCUGUUUGAUGUUGAUCAAGGUUAAAUUGAUUCAACUUUGAUCAAAUUCAUUGGAUCUUGUGGUUUGAGAGUCCUUAAGGGUCAUCACCUAGAAAGAUGAAUGAAUUUGAUCAAGGAUGAGUUAUCCCUUGAUCAAUUGAGAUUGAUUGUUGACUUCUUACCCCUCCCUUUCAUCUUCAUCCUUUUCUUUUUCUUAAUGGCCAAUAAGUUAAAGUCUUGAGGUUGGUCUUGACAAAUAAGAAGUUUAAUCUUCUUUGAUUCAAACCAAACUCAACUUGAUCCAUGAUCAAGUGAGUUAUUUUGUGUCAAAGAUAGGUUACUUCUUGGUCAAGCAAAUAACCAAAAGUCAAUACAAGGCCCUUCCCCUUUUGUUUGGCAUGACAAGUUUAUGGAGCUUGGCUUACUAGUCAUGACCUCUAACUUGUGUUCUUUGCCUAUAUUCUUAUUGACCAGCCUCAGAUAGGUGUGGCUAUUAUAUUAUUCCAUUUACGAUUGCUUAACAUAAUGCUACAUUGUCUUAUGACAAGCUAACAUAACUCUACUAACUACUAACUUUAAUUUGAGCUUUUAAAUUCUUGUCAUUUACUUUUAAUGUCAUUUAUUUCUUGCUCAUUAUUCAUCUUGAUUUUUAUUUUGCUCACCUGAGCACAUAUUUUAUGUUUAUGUCAUUUUUCUUUUGCUCAUUUGAGCCAAUUAUUGUAUAAAAAUAUAUUGCUAUUUUAUGUUGUAUUGUGUUUGUUUUAAUGUGAACCAAAAUGCAAAAAGAGAAAGGACUUAGAAUUAGGAUUCACCCAUACUUAAAGGAGUUCAAGAGCAAUUAGGCCUCAUGCAUUUAGCAUGCAAAAUGUGUUGAAGAGAAACUAGGCCUCAUGCCUUUAGAAUGCUAAAAUUCAAAGUUGACCUCAAAGGACUUCUCCUCAAACUUAUUCUUUGUCCAUUCCCUUUAUUAUGUUAUGAGCUUUUUUUGAUGUGUGCUUUUGUGUGAUAGGAACCUCAUCUAAAGAUUGUGAAAAAAGGACCAUUUUCAUGAGUAGCCAAGUUAAGAGCCAAGCUAAAUGGAGAUCCUAGGAGCUUGAAUUCAAAUCAUUGAUUGCUUGUUUUGUGUGCUAAAU
Molecule: long non-coding RNA, 18762 nt
Filed under: Lathyrus oleraceus (garden pea)
Lineage: Eukaryota; Viridiplantae; Streptophyta; Magnoliopsida; Fabales; Fabaceae
Description: Pisum sativum (pea) long non-coding RNA (PSAT_LNC038973)
Source: RNAcentral